RNAcentral lists this unclassified non-coding RNA (378 nucleotides) under plant metagenome. RNAcentral's name for it is "partial contains 5.8S ribosomal RNA, internal transcribed spacer 2, and large subunit ribosomal RNA". The stretch from base 1 to 105 matches the Rfam family "5.8S ribosomal RNA", at positions 50 to 154 of the family's 154-position model. The record is from RNAcentral.
GAAAUGCGAUAAGUAAUGUGAAUUGCAGAAUUCCGUGAAUCAUCGAAUCUUUGAACGCACAUUGCGCCCUCUGGCAUUCCUUGGAGCAUGCCUGUUUGAGUAUCAUGAAAUCUUCAAAGUAAAUCUUUUGUUAACUCAAUUGGUUUCUACUUUGGUAUUGGAGGUCUUUGCAGCUUCACACCUGCUCCUCUUUGUUCAUUAGCUGGAUCUCAGUGUUAUGCUUGGUUCCACUCGGCGUGAUAAGUUAUCUAUCGCUGAGGACACUGUAAAAGGUGGCCAAGGUAAAUGCAGAUGAACCGCUUCUAAUAGUCCAUUGACUUGGAAAAUACUUUUAUGAUCUGAUCUCAAAUCAGGUAGGACUACCCGCUGAACUUAAGC